GGGUGAUUAGCUCAGUUGGUAGAGCGUCUGCCUUACAAGCAGAAUGUCAGCGGUUCGAAUCCGUUAUCACCCACCA
Molecule: transfer RNA, 76 nt
Filed under: Parahaemophilus parainfluenzae
Lineage: Bacteria; Pseudomonadati; Pseudomonadota; Gammaproteobacteria; Pasteurellales; Pasteurellaceae
Also listed under: 2 other names
Description: Haemophilus parainfluenzae tRNA-Val
Rfam family: tRNA
About the family: Transfer RNA (tRNA) molecules are approximately 80 nucleotides in length. Their secondary structure includes four short double-helical elements and three loops (D, anti-codon, and T loops).
Source: RNAcentral